This 279-nucleotide ribosomal RNA is filed under the name uncultured bacterium. RNAcentral describes it as "partial 16S ribosomal RNA". It matches the Rfam family "Bacterial small subunit ribosomal RNA", at positions 506 to 784 of the family's 1533-position model. The record is from RNAcentral.
UGCCAGCCGCCGCGGUAAUACGGAGGGUGCAAGCGUUAUCCGGAUUUACUGGGUUUAAAGGGUGUGUAGGCGGACAGGUAAGUCAGAGGUGAAAUCUCCGAGCUCAACUCGGAAACUGCCUUUGAUACUAUUUGUCUUGAAUUUCGUUGAGGUUGGCGGAAUAUAUCAUGUAGCGGUGAAAUGCAUAGAUAUGAUAUAGAACACCGAUUGCGUAGGCAGCUGACUGGACGAACAUUGACGCUGAGGCACGAAAGCGUGGGUAGCGAACAGGAUUAGAUA